Molecule: ribosomal RNA, 650 nt
Filed under: uncultured thermophilic aerobic biofilm eubacterium SCBP-D3
Lineage: Bacteria
Description: bacterial SSU rRNA
Rfam family: Bacterial small subunit ribosomal RNA (bases 74-650)
Source: RNAcentral
UGUAAUACGACUCACUAUAGGGCGAAUUGGGCCCGACGUCGCAUGCUCCCCGCCGCCAUGGCGGCCGCGGGAAUUCGAUUAGAGUUUGAUCAUGGCUCAGGACGAACGCUGGCGGCGUGCCUAAUACAUGCAAGUCGAGCGGAGUUUUCGCGGACGGAAGCCUUCGGGUGGAUGUUGCGAAAACUUAGCGGCGGACGGGUGAGUAACACGUGGGCAACCUGCCCGAAAGACCGGGAUAACAUCCGGAAACGGAUGCUAAUACCGGAUAAGCGGACCUUUCGCAUGAAGGGUUCGGGAAAGACGGGGUAACCUGUCACUUUCGGAUGGGCCCGCGGCGCAUUAGCUGGUUGGCGGGGUAACGGCCCACCAAGGCGACGAUGCGUAGCCGACCUGAGAGGGUGAACGGCCACACUGGGACUGAGACACGGCCCAGACUCCUACGGGAGGCAGCAGUAGGGAAUCUUCCGCAAUGGACGAAAGUCUGACGGAGCAACGCCGCGUGAGUGAGGAAGGUCUUCGGAUCGUAAAGCUCUGUUGCCAGGGAAGAAUCCCCUGGGGAGUCACUGCCCCGGGGUUGACGGUACCUGAGAAGAAAGCCCCGGCUAACUACGUGCCAGCAGCCGCGGUAAUAAUCACUAGUGAAUUCGCGG